GAACGGGUGAGUAAUAUCAUCGGAACGUACCCUGGAGUGGGGGAUAACGUAGCGAAAGUUACGCUAAUACCGAUACGAUCUAAGGAUGAAAGUGGGGGAUCGCAAGAACUCAUGCUCCUGGAGCGGGCGAUAUCUUGAUUUAGUAAGUUUGGUGGGGUAAAAGGGCUUAACCAAAGGGCAUUCCGAUCCAAGUAAGGCCUUGGUCCUUGGAAGAAGGGAACCGGAACCCAAGCCAACAAUUGGGAAACUUGGAAGAACCACCGGGUCCCAAGAAUUCCCUAACGGGAGGCAGCAGUGGGGGGAAUUUUGGACAAUGGGCGCAAGCCUGAUCCAGCAAUGCCGCGUGAGUCGAAGAAGGCCUUCGGGUUGUAAAGCUCUUUUGUCAGGGAAGAAACGGAUUUUUCUAAUACAGAGAUCUAAUGACGGUACCUGAAGAAUAAGCACCGGCUAACUACGUGCCAGCAGCCGCGGUAAUACGUAGGGUGCAAGCGUUAAUCGGAAUUACUGGGCGUAAAGCGUGCGCAGGCGGUUUUGUAAGUCUGUCGUGAAAUCCCCGGGCUCAACCUGGGAAUGGCGAUGGAGACUGCAAGGCUAGAGUUUGGCAGAGGGGGGUAGAAUUCCACGUGUAGCAGUGAAAUGCGUAGAUCUGUGGAGGAACACCGA
This 663-nucleotide ribosomal RNA is filed under the name uncultured bacterium. RNAcentral describes it as "bacterial SSU rRNA". It matches the Rfam family "Bacterial small subunit ribosomal RNA", at positions 100 to 712 of the family's 1533-position model. The record is from RNAcentral.